Long non-coding RNA from Ixodes scapularis (black-legged tick), 202 nucleotides. RefSeq lists it as uncharacterized. The transcript has 3 exons. NCBI's taxonomy places the organism in Eukaryota, Metazoa, Arthropoda, Arachnida, Ixodida, Ixodidae. The record is from RefSeq and is a predicted model, not a curated record.
ACUGCACAUGGUUCGAAGCACACUUCAGGGGACCAGUGCAUGCCCCUGAUGCAUCGUCGCGAAGCACUGUAUGGCUCUCUGCACGCUAGAAUGGGGGCUGUCGUUGAUGCUCGCAGAGGCGUCGCCCACAACUAAGCAGACGACCAAAGUCCUGAGCAGGUCCCGGGGAUCAUGGCAUCAAUGAGCUCGCUUUCACCUUGUC